This is a long non-coding RNA of Equus caballus (horse), 715 nucleotides long. The record is from Ensembl. Lineage: Eukaryota; Metazoa; Chordata; Mammalia; Perissodactyla; Equidae.
AGUGCCUCAAGAGCACAAAACCCUGUAAGAAGAACCUCAGGCUAUAGAAUUGAGAACCUCGGUUUCUCACUGACUGUUGACUAGAACCUCCCUCAGCAGCCUGCCACAUUAGUCUCUCAACAGGAGCUCACAGGAUAGCAGCUGGCUCUCCUAAGAGUGAAUGAACCAAAGAGUGAGUGGGGGAUGAGCACCCAAGAUGGAAACCACGGUCUUUUUGUGACCUAAUCUCUAAGGUACGGAGAUGUGGCAGGAAGAAGAAGAAUAGGACAAAUCCGCGGAGAACAUUGAGACACGGGCUGGUUUAGUCACAGUGGUUGCGGUCAGAAAUGGCGAGUUUGACCCCUUUGCUGUUUUGGUGCUGCUCUCCUUGUCCAGCUCCCCUGACAUCGUUCUGAUGACCCUAGAGACUGGCUUCAAGAAGACAGGAAAGAUCCGAGUAACACACGGGUCUCUGAAUUACUCUGAGCAUAAAGUGGCAAAACUUUUGGACCAAGGGCAAGGUCAAAGAUCCUUAAGCUUCAUUCAUGAUGUUUCAGUUACACACAGCUUUGGUCAACUCUUUCGGGGAAAAUGUUCAUUUUUUUUUUUCCCUCAACACUCCUUUAUUGCAUGCCUAUUUGGAUUCAGACAACGCACUUGAUAUCAAGAUUAACACAACUAAAUAAAAUAUGACAUGAUUUUUAAUAAAACUGUGGGACAACAGCUCUUGAUUUAA